CCUACGGGGGGCAGCAGUGGGGAAUAUUGGACAAUGGGCGAAAGCCUGAUCCAGCCAUGCCGCGUGUGUGAAGAAGGCCUUCGGGUUGUAAAGCACUUUCAGUGGGGAAGAAAGCCUUGGGGCUAAUACCCUCGAGGAAGGACAUCACCCACAGAAGAAGCACCGGCUAACUCCGUGCCAGCAGCCGCGGUAAUACGGAGGGUGCGAGCGUUAAUCGGAAUUACUGGGCGUAAAGCGCGCGUAGGCGGUCUGAUAAGCCGGUUGUGAAAGCCCCGGGCUCAACCUGGGAACGGCAUCCGGAACUGUCAGGCUAGAGUGCAGGAGAGGAAGAUAGAAUUCCCGGUGUAGCGGUGAAAUGCGUAGAGAUCGGGAGGAAUACCAGUGGCGAAGGCGGCCUUCUGGACUGACACUGACGCUGAGGUGCGAAAGCGUGGGUAGCAAACAGGAUUAGAUACCCCUGUAGUC
This 465-nucleotide ribosomal RNA is filed under the name Vreelandella stevensii. RNAcentral describes it as "partial 16S ribosomal RNA". It matches the Rfam family "Bacterial small subunit ribosomal RNA", at positions 338 to 795 of the family's 1533-position model. Lineage: Bacteria; Pseudomonadati; Pseudomonadota; Gammaproteobacteria; Oceanospirillales; Halomonadaceae. The record is from RNAcentral.